This 503-nucleotide ribosomal RNA is filed under the name uncultured bacterium. RNAcentral's name for it is "partial 16S ribosomal RNA". It matches the Rfam family "Bacterial small subunit ribosomal RNA", at positions 30 to 523 of the family's 1533-position model. The record is from RNAcentral.
AUUGAACGCUGGCGGCAGGCUUAACACAUGCAAGUCGAGCGGGGUGAUGGUGCUUGCACUAUCACUUAGCGGCGGACGGGUGAGUAAUGCUUAGGAAUCUGCCUAUUAGUGGGGGACAACAUCUCGAAAGGGAUGCUAAUACCGCAUACGGCCUACGGGAGAAAGCAGGGGAUCACUUGUGACCUUGCGCUAAUAGAUGAGCCUAAGUCGGAUUAGCUAGUUGGGUGGGUAAAGGCCUACCAAGGCGACGUUCUGUAGCGGGUCUUACAGGAUGGUCCGCCACACUGGGACUGAUAAACGGCCCAGACUCCUACGGGAGGCAGCAGGGGGGAAUAUUGGACAAUGGGGGGAACCCUGAUCCAGCCAUGCCGCGUGUGUGAAGAAGGCCUUAUGGUUGUAAAGCACUUUAAGCGAGGAGGAGGCUCUUUUGGUUAAUACCCAAGAUGAGUGGACGUUACUCGCAGAAUAAGCACCGGCUAACUCUGUGCCAGCCGCCGCGGUAA